UUAAACGGCCGCGGUAUCCUAACCGUGCAAAGGUAGCAUAAUCACUUGUCCCCUAAAUAGGGACUAGAAUGAACGGUUAAAUGAGGGCUUCACUGUCUCUUACAUUCGACCAAUAAACCUGAUCUUUCAGUCCAAAAGCUGAAAUAAACCCAUAAGACGAGAAGACCCUGUGGAGCUUCCAAACCAAGCCCACCACCCUAUGUCCCCUUGGUUUUUAGUUGGGGCGACUUUGGAGCACAAACAACCCUCCAACUACGGACCUUCCCCUCUAGAUGUACAUAUCAACAAAAAUUUUCCCCGACCCAGUAGCUAAAUUGUCUAUCUGACCAAUGGACCAAGUUACCCCAGGGAUAACAGCGCCAUCCUCUUCUAGAGUCCCUAUCGACAAGAGGGUUUACGACCUCGAUGUUGGAUCAGGACACCCCUAUAGUGCAGCCGCUAUAAAAGGUUCGUUUGUUCAACGAUUAAAGUCCUACGUGAUCU
Molecule: ribosomal RNA, 483 nt
Filed under: Meroles cuneirostris
Lineage: Eukaryota; Metazoa; Chordata; Lepidosauria; Squamata; Lacertidae
Description: partial 16S ribosomal RNA
Rfam family: Archaeal large subunit ribosomal RNA
Source: RNAcentral